RNAcentral lists this long non-coding RNA (906 nucleotides) under Trifolium pratense (red clover). RNAcentral's name for it is "long non-coding RNA (TPRA_LNC009353)". The record is from RNAcentral. Lineage: Eukaryota; Viridiplantae; Streptophyta; Magnoliopsida; Fabales; Fabaceae.
UGAUAAACUCCAAUUUAGUGUAUUUUAUGUAAAUAUUUUUUGUGUUAAUUUAGAGUAAUUAUUUAUUAUUAUAUAAAUAACUCACUUGAUUUGCACUAUAUUAUACAAAAGAGAAGAAAAGCUAAAAAAAUGCAAAUCUACUUUUUGAAUCACUUAAAGAUAAACAUUAUAUAUUUUAUACUAUUUAUUAUUAUUAUUAUUAUUAUUAUUAUUAUUAUUAUUAUUAUUAUGUGAAAAUGAAAUUAAAACAAUGUUACAGGUCCAAAAGAAAUCAAACACGAAGGAAUAUUAAAGGAAAGUAACAUGUGCCUUCUCAAGGGGUAAUUAGAGUCAAAAGUGGUGAUUAAAAGUGGAGUCUUAACAAUAACAAAAUUGAUUUGUCUUCCUUCUCAGUAAGAGAGGCGGCAGCAACACAAUGAAAAGGAUGGCAAGUUGAAAAAAGGUCUGACAAAGCUUAAAAUCAAGUGGAGCUUAAAAUCAAGUGGAUUAGCGGUGAUACAAGACUUAAUAUUGAAGAUUUGCGAAGGCGGCUAAGCAAUUGGAAGGCAAGGAGUAUAAAUAGAGCUCUUUGGUAAACACUGGGGGUAUGCUUUCUUAUGUUCUGUAACACAGCUGGGAGAGGAAAAUUGGAAAAGCUUUGGAUUGAAGAUUAAAACUUUGGAGCAACAUAUUUUCUUCAUUCUAGGGUUAUUUCUUACUCUUAAUUUCAUGAAUUCAACUUUUAUGUUGGUGUUCUUUUUGAUUAUGGAUAGCUAAAUACUAUUCUAGGGUUUAUGGUGAAUCUUGCAAUUAAAAUUCCUUUUGCUAUGUCUUAGCUUAUAUGUUCUAGUUUCUAAUUUAAAUUUCGAUAUUUUGUUCAAUUAAUGUUAUCCUAUUGAUUUUAUCACAUGAUUAGGAAUGAUCAAC